AAGAUGUGACUUUUGAGCUGAAACUUGAAGAAUAAGGUUCUGAGAGCCCGGAAAUAUGGAUAGAAGUAUUCCAGCCUCAAUGAUGCAGGUGACGUACAAGAAGAAGCAGGCUGUCUCCACUAAGCAUCUGGGGCCCAGCUGCUGCCCUUUGCCACCACGGGGAGGCAGCAGACCAACACCCACAUGUGGAACACACUUGGCACCCUACAGUGACCUCGUGGGUGUAAUGGUCAGUGCUUCACUGCCUCUUCCAAAUCGCACGCAAAUUUCUCCUGUGGCUAACUCUAACCCAGAACCAGACGGUGAAGGGAAUUCUGGGAAAUCAGCUCCACCUUAGCUAAACAAAAAGCCGCUGUACCAGGUUUCAUCCUGUCAAUGUAUUUGUAGAUGCCUUUGAUUUUUCUUUAUAACACUAAAUACAGAAUAAUUCGAAUAUACAAGAGAAUAUAAAUACAGAGUCUUUCCAUGGUUUCCUUUAUGAAAUUACUAACUUUCUGUCAUCUUGAGUACCCAGUCAUCUUGGAUCAUUUCUUGCCAUGUGCUUAUUGGGAUGAAUUAAAACUACUGG
Molecule: long non-coding RNA, 568 nt
Filed under: Equus caballus (horse)
Lineage: Eukaryota; Metazoa; Chordata; Mammalia; Perissodactyla; Equidae
Description: lncRNA (ENSECAG00000042491.2)
Source: RNAcentral